UACGUAGGUGGCAAGCGUUGUCCGGAUUUAUUGGGUUUAAAGGGUGCGUAGGCGGCUUUGUAAGUCAGUGGUGAAAUAUGGCAGCUCAACUGUCAAGGUGCCAUUGAUACUGCGGAGCUUGAGUACAGAUGAGGUAGGCGGAAUUGACGGUGUAGCGGUGAAAUGCUUAGAUAUCGUCAAGAACACCGAUAGCGAGGGCAGCUUACUAGGCUGUAACUGACGCUGAGGCACGAAAGUGUGGGGAUCAAACAGG
RNAcentral lists this ribosomal RNA (253 nucleotides) under uncultured bacterium. RNAcentral's name for it is "partial 16S ribosomal RNA". It matches the Rfam family "Bacterial small subunit ribosomal RNA", at positions 524 to 776 of the family's 1533-position model. The record is from RNAcentral.